Molecule: ribosomal RNA, 492 nt
Filed under: uncultured bacterium
Lineage: Bacteria
Description: partial 16S ribosomal RNA
Rfam family: Bacterial small subunit ribosomal RNA
Source: RNAcentral
AGUGAACGCUGGCGGUAGGCCUAACACAUGCAAGUCGAACGGCAGCACAGUAAGAGCUUGCUCUUACGGGUGGCGAGUGGCGGACGGGUGAGGAAUACAUCGGAAUCUACUUUUUCGUGGGGGAUAACGUAGGGAAACUUACGCUAAUACCGCAUACGACCUACGGGUGAAAGCAGGGGAUCUUCGGACCUUGCGCGAUUGAAUGAGCCGAUGUCGGAUUAGCUAGUUGGCGGGGUAAAGGCCCACCAAGGCGACGAUCCGUAGCUGGUCUGAGAGGAUGAUCAGCCACACUGGAACUGAGGCACGGUCCCGACUCCUACGGGGGGCAGCAGUGGGGAAUAUUGGACGAAGGGCGCAAGCCUGAUCCAGCCAUACCGCGUGGGUGAAGAAGGCCUUCGGGUUGUAAAGCCCUUUUGUUGGGAAAGAAAAGCAGCAGGUUAAUCCCCCGCUGUUCUGACGGUACCCAAAGAAUAAGCACCGGCUAACUUCGUG